Molecule: ribosomal RNA, 528 nt
Filed under: uncultured bacterium
Lineage: Bacteria
Description: bacterial SSU rRNA
Rfam family: Bacterial small subunit ribosomal RNA
Source: RNAcentral
UCCUGGCUUAGGACGAACGCUGGCGGCGUGCCUAAUACAUGCAAGUCGAACGGUCUUUCUAUGGAAGCUUGCUUCCACUGAGAAGAUAGUGGCGAACGGGUGAGUAACACGUGGGUAACCUGCCCAUAAGAGGGGGAUAACAUCCGGAAACGGGUGCUAAUACCGCAUAGUUUUCUUGAUCGCAUGAUUGAGAAAGGAAAGACGGCCUUUGUGCUGUCGCUUAUGGAUGGACCCGCGGCGUAUUAGUUAGUUGGUGAGGUAACGGCUCACCAAGACGAUGAUACGUAGCCGACCUGAGAGGGUGAUCGGCCACAUUGGGACUGAGACACGGCCCAAACUCCUACGGGAGGCAGCAGUAGGGAAUCUUCCGCAAUGGACGAAAGUCUGACGGAGCAACGCCGCGUGAGUGAAGAAAGGUUUUCGGAUCGUAAAACUCUGUUGUCAGAGAAGAACAAGUUGGAGAGUAACUGCUCCAGCCUUGACGGUAUCUGACCAGAAAGCCACGGCUAACUACGUGCCAGCAGCCGC